This 1537-nucleotide ribosomal RNA is filed under the name uncultured marine bacterium EB80_02D08. RNAcentral describes it as "16S ribosomal RNA". It matches the Rfam family "Bacterial small subunit ribosomal RNA". The record is from RNAcentral.
AUUAAUUGAAGAGUUUGAUCAUGGCUCAGAUUGAACGCUGGCGGUAGGCUUAACACAUGCAAGUCGUGCGAGAAAGUAUCUUCGGAUAUGAGUAGAGCGGCGGACGGGUGAGUAACGCGUAGGAAUCUACCUAGUAGAAGGGGAUAGCCCGGGGAAACCCGGAUUAAUACCGUAUACCUCCUUCGGGAGAAAGAAGGCCUCUCUUUGAAGCUUUCGCUAUUAGAUGAGCCUGCGUAAGAUUAGCUUGUUGGUGAGGUAAAGGCUCACCAAGGCGACGAUCUUUAGCUGGUCUGAGAGGACGAUCAGCCACAUUGGGACUGAGACACGGCCCAGACUCCUACGGGAGGCAGCAGUGGGGAAUAUUGGACAAUGGGCGCAAGCCUGAUCCAGCCAUACCGCGUGUGUGAAGAAGGCCUUCGGGUUGUAAAGCACUUUAAGCAGGGAGAAAAAGUUAUAAGUUAAUACCUUAUAACCCUGAUGUUACCUGCAGAAUAAGCACCGGCUAAUUCCGUGCCAGCAGCCGCGGUAAUACGGAAGGUGCAAGCGUUAAUCGGAAUUACUGGGCGUAAAGCGCGCGUAGGUGGUUUGUUAAGUUGGAUGUGAAAGCCCUGGGCUCAACCUAGGAACUGCAUCCAAAACUAACUCACUAGAGUACGAUAGAGGGAGGUAGAAUUCAUAGUGUAGCGGUGGAAUGCGUAGAUAUUAUGAAGAAUACCAGUGGCGAAGGCGGCCUCCUGGAUCUGUACUGACACUGAGGUGCGAAAGCGUGGGUAGCGAACAGGAUUAGAUACCCUGGUAGUCCACGCCGUAAACGAUGACAACUAGCUGUUGGGAGACUAUGUCUUUCAGUGGCGCAGCUAACGCUUUAAGUUGUCCGCCUGGGGAGUACGGCCGCAAGGCUAAAACUCAAAUGAAUUGACGGGGACCCGCACAAGCGGUGGAGCAUGUGGUUUAAUUCGAUGCAACGCGAAAAACCUUACCUACUCUUGACAUACUUGGAGGCUCUUGUAAUGAGAGUGUGCCUUUUGGAACCAAGAUACAGGUGCUGCAUGGCUGUCGUCAGCUCGUGUCGUGAGAUGUUCCGUUAAGUCGGAUAACGAGCGCAACCCUUACCCUUAUUUGCCAGCGAUUCGGUCGGGAACUAUAAGGGGACUGCCGGUGAUAAACCGGAGGAAGGUGAGGACGACGUCAAGUCAUCAUGGCCCUUACGAGUAGGGCUACACACGUGCUACAAUGGGAGAUACAGACGGACGCUAAGCCGCGAGGUGGUGCUAAUCCUAAAAAGUCUUUCGUAGUCCGGAUUGGAGUCUGCAACUCGACUCCAUGAAGUCGGAAUCGCUAGUAAUCGCGGAUCAGCAUGCCGCGGUGAAUACGUUCUCGGGUCUUGUACACACCGCCCGUCACACCAUGGAAGUGGAUUGCACCAGAAGUAGAUAGUCUAACCUUAGGGAGGGCGUUUACCACGGUGUGCUUCAUGACUGGGGUGAAGUCGUAACAAGGUAGCCGUAGGGGAACCUGUGGCUGGAUCACCUCCUUA